UCUCCCCUGGUGAGUGGGAGACAAACUCUGCCAAACUUUUAAUUCCCUUCCCUCGUGAUCCGUGUAGCAGCAGCAGAGCAGUGAACCCCANAAANUGGAAGUCAGGUGUCACGCUGNGAGUUGGCNGACCGUUCGGAUUGGAGGCAGUAUUUAAGGUAAGAAUGAAACCUGACGCCACUUUUCCAUGCAAUCUUCUUCUUCUUCCUCGAACUCAACUUUCUGAAAUCUCAAAUUCUCCUCCUUCUCUCUAAACCUCCCUACCUUCUCUCUAAAAUUCUAACCCAUCUACUGUUCCGAUCACCCUUCAGAUCACACCUGAAGACUCCUGGUGGUCUCCUCUCUCACUUGAACCGUCCGGUUUCGAGUUUGCAUCUGACUUUGGAAACCUUAGAAGAGAUAGUUCCUACCAACCUACUUUCAAAGACCUAGCUGGAAUUAGAGGUAAGGGAAGCUUAUAAAAUUUAAUCUUAAUUUCUCUGUAUGGUUUGAAUGUAUGCCUGAUUUAAUGUAUGUUUGAUUUCUUAUGAUUGAGAUAUGNUAUGUUGUUGUAUGAGUUGUAUGAUAAGUAUAAAACUAUGAAUUUUGCACUGGUAUGAGUAUGUAUGAAACUUAGAGAAAAUAUGAAACUGAGAUCGAAGGUCAUUAGGACCGUUCGNUUCUNCCUUUUCCGUUCGGUCUCUUGGGACUGUUCGGCCUAGUGUGAUUACUAAAUUUAGUUNGUUUCCUUUAAUUGUUUGAUUGAUAGCUACUUAAGAAUGCUGGUCAUAAACCAANCGUUCGGCCUUCCAAGUGUUCGGCCUUAGGCUGACACUUAAAUUAUAAAACUUGUAAAUCUGAUGUUCUUCCUUUGAAACCGUCCGGUCACUUAAUGACUGAAUGGUCUAGUGAGACUCUAUUUAUUGAAACGUCNGNUUUACUUGACUAAAGUCCUUUUUACCCCUUUUUAAAGAGUUUCUUCUUUCUUAAUUCGUUCGGUCGGAUAAGUGUUGGUCAUAGACCAACCUUCGACUAUGAUUUGAGCUUAUUUUAUAACACUCUUUGUCAAACCGUUCGGAUGACUAUCCCUUAUAGUCAAUCCUUGAGUUAUGGUCUCAUUCUUUGCUAAACCAUCCUAUCAACCAUUUGACAUUCUUCUGUUAUUCAGUCUUACCUUUGAUAUGACCGUCNGGCCACUUACCUGAAUUCUUAAUACUCAGUUUCCCAUUUCGCUUAAACCGUUCGGUCACUAUUAUUUAUAAUUCAGUCUUGGAUAAUUGGUAUUUUCUCAACACCCUAACGNCUUGGAAGUAAUAACACACCUUGAUUGAAUUUGGCUAAGUAAGAGAAUUCCACUGGAGGAAUGUCUCAUGAAUUGGUAAUGAUUGGUAAAGUAUGAACGUGGGAAUGACUCAGGUGUCGUCCUGAUCCUGAUAUUCCGUGAGGACGCUUUCUCAGGUAGAGAAAGGUCACUCAUGUGUGGGAAUGGCAGGAGGUCCGCGGUUAUAUGAAUAAAUAACCGUUUGAGGAUUAACNUCGGGUGGCAGCUGAUAAGGAAAGGCAGUUACUACACCACACCGNGUGCUAGGGACGANCGAGCUACAUGUUCAUACCGUCCGGACAGUGUCUUAGUAGUCNGUCAUGAUUAAAGGAAUGGGGUAUGCAUGUAUAGAAAUUGUAUGAUUGAUUUGUUUGNAUUGUACCUUUACUUGUAUGAUGAAAUGAUAAAAUUAAAUUUUACAUAAGCUUACCCUUAUCUGUUCUGUCUUUAUCUAUGUUGNCNUCCGGUUAUUCUCUUUGCUGCAAUGAUCAUCCUUUUGNG
This 1798-nucleotide long non-coding RNA is filed under the name Vigna radiata. Its description in RNAcentral is "long non-coding RNA (VRAD_LNC011632)". Lineage: Eukaryota; Viridiplantae; Streptophyta; Magnoliopsida; Fabales; Fabaceae. The record is from RNAcentral.